AGAAAUUGAUCUAGGGUGAAAAUAUAUCAGUAGUCAAGUAAGUAGAAUUUUGAACAAAACAGAACAACAUUCAAAAUUUUGGCUUUGUUCUGUGACUUUUACAGCCUUUGGGAGAUUCUGUUGUGUGACGGACCCACUCUCUGCAGGGCCAAGCAUUUCUGACUCGGUCCCAUCAGUUCCGGUCCUGUCCAUGGUACCGAGAAGAUGAUCAGUCAUCAGUCCUGAAACAGUAUGUGACUAUAGACACAUGUAUGGCAUAAAUCAAGAAAUAGGUUAUUGGAGGCAGAAUUGGAUUUGAUUAGAGCCUUUUUUACAUUAUAAAAGGAAAACUCUUCCUGUUCAUAAUUACUUAGAACUGGCAAAAAUGCCACAUUCAGUAGCUUUGCGUGGUGGAGUUUCAAUUUUUCUCUCAAGCUUCUUUAAGGUACAAAAGACUCAAGACACUUUUUUGACUAAACGGCACAGCAGAAUUUCAAUUUCUUAAAGAUUUCCUAGAUUAGAAUCCUAUUGUAAAAAUGAGUUCUUUCUAGAAGAACUUUAGAAUUUAACUUUCAUCGGUAAAACAUCCUCUUCUUUUUUCAUAUUCAAGCCUUUGUGGAUACCAUGCAAUUAAUUUUCAAAUGAUCAUGAAGGCAGUUUAAUAGCUCAUUCGUAUUUUCUAAACUCUCUCCUGGUAGUGUCUCCAGAUGAAUGAAGUACAGUGCUCUCCAUAGCACCUAAGGAAGGAGUGUUGCUUAAUAUUAUUCAAAGUGCUCUGAAAUGAGAGCAUUUACAAUCAUGAAAUAAUGUCUAUUUCAACAUCUUUUAUUUUAAAAAUUCUUUAUUGACC
This 829-nucleotide long non-coding RNA is filed under the name Bos taurus (domestic cattle). Its description in RNAcentral is "long non-coding RNA NONBTAT002824". The record is from RNAcentral. Lineage: Eukaryota; Metazoa; Chordata; Mammalia; Artiodactyla; Bovidae.